This 217-nucleotide unclassified non-coding RNA is filed under the name soil metagenome. Its description in RNAcentral is "partial contains 5.8S ribosomal RNA, internal transcribed spacer 2, and large subunit ribosomal RNA". The record is from RNAcentral.
AACCAUAGAAACCUGCGGAGUACCUGCGGAAGGAUCAUUAACAACAAAUCUUGUGUGUGUGAGUAUGUUUUUAGGCAUGUAUUUACUUACUGUGCCUAUAACUGCUCCACAUAUAUAUGCGCUCCAGCGGUUGUCUGGAUGCACAAUGUACGCUUUUAUUGUCUUGUUGUCAUUUAUGGGUUUAAAAUGUUAUUAUACAACUUUCAGCAAUGGAUCU